UGGGGAAUAUUGGACAAUGGGCGAAAGCCUGAUCCAGCCAUGCCGCGUGUGUGAAGAAGGUCUUCGGAUUGUAAAGCACUUUAAGUUGGGAGGAAGGGCCAUUACCUAAUACGUGAUGGUUUUGACGUUACCGACAGAAUAAGCACCGGCUAACUCUGUGCCAGCAGCCGCGGUAAUACAGAGGGUGCAAGCGUUAAUCGGAAUUACUGGGCGUAAAGCGCGCGUAGGUGGUUUGUUAAGUUGGAUGUGAAAUCCCCGGGCUCAACCUGGGAACUGCAUUCAAAACUGACUGACUAGAGUAUGGUAGAGGGUGGUGGAAUUUCCUGUGUAGCGGUGAAAUGCGUAGAUAUAGGAAGGAACACCAGUGGCGAAGGCGACCACCUGGACUGAUACUGACACUGAGGUGCGAAAGCGUGGGGAGCAAACAGGAUUAGAUACCCAAGUAGUCCCUGAGCGGGCUGGCAAGGCGCAU
This 472-nucleotide ribosomal RNA is filed under the name uncultured bacterium. RNAcentral describes it as "bacterial SSU rRNA". It matches the Rfam family "Bacterial small subunit ribosomal RNA", at positions 355 to 825 of the family's 1533-position model. The record is from RNAcentral.